ACAGCAUUACCAACUUCAAGAUGAAUGCUUGUUAAUCAGUUUAGAACCUUAAUGCAUAUGUUACUAUAGAUAUGAUGCCUGGACCUUGCUUACGACACCAUCCAGCAUGCUGCACCCUGACCAAGGACAUCAAGCAGAUGCCCACCAUCCCCAUUAACCUCUAGAUGAGAAUUGAAUAUCCAACAGAUUAUAACGCAUUUCAUCAAAUAGUAGCAAAACAUCAAGCAGAACAAAAAAAAACUAUGAAGGCAAAUCAAACAUGCGCUCUAGCCAUAGGUCCAUCAGAUCGGCCCAUCAUCCAGAGCUCCACCACUCCCACAACCAAUCCACCAGUAUGAGCUCAAGGGCGAGGUAAUCAUGGUGCUCACCAUGUAGAUGAUGCUCAGGUUGGCCCUAUAUGGCAAGCGUUAGGGCCUAUACUCAUAAAUGAUUGAACCAGAUGCAUGGAGGAGAUGAAGAUGGCUUACCGUGAGGUAGAUAGGGAGGGGGUUAGAGCAUGCAUGGAGACGACAAAGGGGCACCUGGAGGCAGCGGAUGAGGGGAUAGGUGCGGCGACACUGUCGAUACCAGUGACAGAGAUAGGGACGCCGAGAAUGUCACCGCCUUAG
RNAcentral lists this long non-coding RNA (608 nucleotides) under Elaeis guineensis (African oil palm). Its description in RNAcentral is "long non-coding RNA (EGUI_LNC071770)". The record is from RNAcentral. Lineage: Eukaryota; Viridiplantae; Streptophyta; Magnoliopsida; Arecales; Arecaceae.